RNAcentral lists this ribosomal RNA (492 nucleotides) under uncultured bacterium. RNAcentral describes it as "partial 16S ribosomal RNA". It matches the Rfam family "Bacterial small subunit ribosomal RNA", at positions 29 to 507 of the family's 1533-position model. The record is from RNAcentral.
AGUGAACGCUGGCGGUAGGCCUAACACAUGCAAGUCGAACGGCAGCACAGUAAGAGCUUGCUCUUACGGGUGGCGAGUGGCGGACGGGUGAGGAAUACAUCGGAAUCUACUUUUUCGUGGGGGAUAACGUAGGGAAACUUACGCUAAUACCGCAUACGACCUACGGGUGAAAGCAGGAGAUCUUCGGACCUUGCGCGAUUGAAUGAGCCGAUGUCGGAUUAGCUAGUUGGCGGGGUAAAGGCCCACCAAGGCGACGAUCCGUAGCUGGUCUGAGAGGAUGAUCAGCCACACUGGAACUGAGACACGGUCCAGACUCCUACGGGAGGCAGCAGUGGGGAAUAUUGGACAAUGGGCGCAAGCCUGAUCCAGCCAUACCGCGUGGGUGAAGAAGGUCUUCGGGUUGUAAAGCCCUUUUGUUGGGAAAGAAAAGCAGCAGGUUAAUACCCCGCUGUUCUGACGGUACCCAAAGAAUAAGCACCGGCUAACUUCGUG